AUCCCUUGUUCACUAGAAACAAGGAGCCCCCUGUCACCUUCUUUUAAAACAGAUCUUUCUGUCUCUGUCUUCAUUUCUCCAUUCAUCCCCCUUCAUUCAAUCCUGUAGCAACUGGCAGUGACAAGUGGUGCCCAGGACAGGGACAUGAGCAAAGAAGGUCUGCUGGAGCAGAGAAAGUGAAACUGACCAGAUGAGCAAGAAACCUUGGGACAAGUCUACUGGCAGCUAAUAUAAGUCUUCAAAAUCAGGUGGACCACCAAAUGGCAAUUGAGAGCUGCAGAACCUGCAAUUACCUUUAUUCAAUUAAUGAAAAAACAAAAAGAGGGAGAUGUUACAGGCCAAAAGAAUGAGGGUCGUGACCAACUCAGCAUACCA
Molecule: long non-coding RNA, 375 nt
Filed under: Homo sapiens (human)
Lineage: Eukaryota; Metazoa; Chordata; Mammalia; Primates; Hominidae
Description: HSALNT0320058
Source: RNAcentral